Molecule: ribosomal RNA, 484 nt
Filed under: uncultured bacterium
Lineage: Bacteria
Description: partial 16S ribosomal RNA
Rfam family: Bacterial small subunit ribosomal RNA
Source: RNAcentral
AUUGAACGCUGGCGGCAGGCCUAACACAUGCAAGUCGAGCGGAUGAAGGGAGCUUGCUCCUGGAUUCAGCGGCGGACGGGUGAGUAAUGCCUAGGAAUCUGCCUGGCAGUGGGGGAUAACGUCCGGAAACGGGCGCUAAUACCGCGUACGUCCUGAGGGAGAAAGUGGGGGAUCUUCGGACCUCACGCUAUCAGAUGAGCCUAGGUCGGAUUAGCUAGUUGGUGGGGUAAAGGCCUACCAAGGCGACGAUCCGUAACUGGUCUGAGAGGAUGAUCAGUCACACUGGAACUGAGACACGGUCCAGACUCCUACGGGAGGCAGCAGUGGGGAAUAUUGGGCAAUGGGCGAAAGCCUGACCCAGCCAUGCCGCGUGUGUGAAGAAGGUCUUCGGAUUGUAAAGCACUUUAAGUUGGGAGGAAGAGCAGUAAGUUAAUACCUUGCUGUUUUGACGUUACCAACAGAAUAAGCACCGGCUAACUACGUG